UGUGCAAAGGUAGCAAAAUAAUUUGUUUUUUAAUUUAAAACUAAAAUGAAAGAUUAGACGAGAAAAAUUAUUUCUUAAAAAAAUUAAUAAAAUUUAUUAUUAAGGUUAAAAACCCUUAACUACUCAGGGGGACGACAAGACCCUAAAAUCUACUUUUUAUUAAACUUUAUUAGAGAAAAAUUACUUAAAAGAUUACUGGGGCGGUAAAAUAUCCAAACAUUUUUAAUAUUACACAAAUUGUUUGGCCUAAGUUAACACUUUUGUUACUUAAUUUAGAUACUUUAGGGAUAACAGCGUUAUUUUUCUACAGAGUCCCCAUUGCCAGAAAAGUUUUCGACCUCGAUGUUGAAUUGAGUUUACUAGAUUAAGCAA
Molecule: ribosomal RNA, 372 nt
Filed under: Trichoniscus pusillus
Lineage: Eukaryota; Metazoa; Arthropoda; Malacostraca; Isopoda; Trichoniscidae
Description: 16S ribosomal RNA
Source: RNAcentral